RNAcentral lists this ribosomal RNA (466 nucleotides) under uncultured bacterium. RNAcentral's name for it is "partial 16S ribosomal RNA". It matches the Rfam family "Bacterial small subunit ribosomal RNA", at positions 28 to 507 of the family's 1533-position model. The record is from RNAcentral.
GACGAACGCUGGCGGCGCGCCUAACACAUGCAAGUCGAACGAGCGAGAGAGAGCUUGCUUUCUUGAGCGAGUGGCGAACGGGUGAGUAACGCGUGAGGAACCUGCCUCAAAGAGGGGGACAACAGUUGGAAACGACUGCUAAUACCGCAUAAGCGCACGGUCCCGCAUGGCACAGAGGGAAAAGGGGCAGUCCGCUUUGAGAUGGCCUCGCGUCCGAUUAGCUGGGUGGUGAGGUAACGGCCCACCAAGGCGACGAGCGGUGGCCGGGCGGAGAGGCUGCACGGCUGCAUUGGGACUGCGGCACAGCCCAGUCUCCUACGCGGGGCAGCGGAGGGUAGUAUUGCACGAGGGGGGAAGAUCCGACGCAGCGGCGUCGGGGAGGAGGAGAAGCUGGUCGGAUUGUAAACUCGUGUGGUUGGAGGAGAUAAUGACGGUAACCAACAAGGAAGCAACGGCUAACUACGUG